Molecule: small nuclear RNA, 99 nt
Filed under: Moschus moschiferus (Siberian musk deer)
Lineage: Eukaryota; Metazoa; Chordata; Mammalia; Artiodactyla; Moschidae
Source: RNAcentral
GCCCACUUUGGCAGCACAUCUAUCAUGUUGAAACAAUACAGAGUCAGCCUGGCCCUUGUGCAAGAUAACACACAUAUUUGUGAAAAGUUCCAUAUUUUU